This 490-nucleotide ribosomal RNA is filed under the name uncultured bacterium. RNAcentral describes it as "partial 16S ribosomal RNA". It matches the Rfam family "Bacterial small subunit ribosomal RNA", at positions 29 to 505 of the family's 1533-position model. The record is from RNAcentral.
AGUGAACGCUGGCGGUAGGCCUAACACAUGCAAGUCGAACGGCAGCACAGUAAGAGCUUGCUCUUGCGGGUGGCGAGUGGCGGACGGGUGAGGAAUACAUCGGAAUCUACUUUUUCGUGGGGGAUAACGUAGGGAAACUUACGCUAAUACCGCAUACGACCUACGGGUGAAAGCAGGGGAUCUUCGGACCUUGCGCGAUUGAAUGAGCCGAUGUCGGAUUAGCUAGUUGGCGGGGUAAAGGCCCACCAAGGCGACGAUCCGUAGCUGGUCUGAGAGGAUGAUCAGCCACACUGGAACUGAGACACGGUCCAGACUCCUACGGGAGGCAGCAGUGGGGAAUAUUGGACAAUGGGCGCAAGCCUGAUCCAGCCAUACCGCGUGGGCGAAGAAGGCCUUCGGGUUGUAAAGCCCUUUUGUUGGGAAAGAAAAGCAGCAGGUUAAUACCCCGCUGUUCUGACGGUACCCAAAGAAUAAGCACCGGCUAACUUCG